AGGUAAUGACUGUCCUGUGUAGGUGACAGUGAUAUCCAAUAGGCUAGGCACUCACGAGGCUGGCUGUGGCAAGUGUAAGUGAAAGCAACACGCACUGGCAGGAAGAACAGCAAACGCCGAUGAAGGAAAGGGUCUUUGCAGUGAUGGGCGUUACCAGAGAGGACGAUGGCCAGAGGACGCGAAUGGGACGGGGAGGCAGCGCGUUGGGGGGGGCAGCGCGACACGGCUCGGGCCCGCCAGUGCCCCAACGGGGCCCUAGUUCCUCCCCUUUGAACUGGAAAAUGGCCCACUUCCCACUGGCGAAAACUCAUGAAAUUUGGCAGGACGACCGGGCCUGGUGAAAAAUUCGAUAUUCUGAAGUCGCCCAAACAAUAAAAUGCAAAAUGGCUCCAUAGCGCCCCCUAAGGUGGAAAUUCACACUAUUGACUGUCACGCCUGUACGCUUUGUCAUAUUGACACAAAAAUUGACACACAUAUGUAUCUCAAUAAGAUCUACAAAAAAGUCAGUGCGGCCGUAUCUGUCAAAAUUACGGUUAAAGGGUUAUUUUGCAUUUUUUGCCGAUCCGCACACAUUGGAAUUUCGCUAACUCCUCCGAAGGCUUUCGUUCCACCGGCACCACAUUUGCUCAGGCCAAUCUACACCCCGUGGCCAUUAAAAGUUAUCAAAAUCAUGACGCUGCACCCCACGGUUUACGUUCUAGGGGGCGCCAAAGAUAACACUAAAAUCCACAUAUUUAAAAGUCUUAUAACUUUUUAUUUUUGUCCUCACUGGCCUCCAAGUUUUCUAGGAUGAUGCAAUGUCCAGCCAUCAACACAUUUGUGAAGGAAUUUUUACUCCCCAAAAGAGCGCCCCCCCAUGGCAGGAGAAAAAAGUCAAUUUUUUCUUGUCCCCUAAGGUGAAAAUACACAUUGUUGAGUGUCACGCCUAUACGCUUUGUCAAAAUGACACAAAAAUUGACACACACAUGUAACUCAAUAAGAUCUACGAAAUAGUCAAUGCGCGCGUAUCUGUCAAAUGUACGGUUAAAGGGUUAUUCCGCAUUUUUUGCCGAUCCGCACACAUUGGAAUUUCGCUAACUCCUCCGAAGGCUUUCGUUCCACCGGCACCACAUUUGCUCAGGCCAAUCUACCCCCAAUGGCCAUUAAAAGUUAUUCAAAUCAUGACGCUGCACCCCACGGUUUAGGUUCUAGGGGGCGCCAAAGAUAACCCUAAAAUCCACAUAUUUCAAAGUCUUAUAACUUUUUAUUUUUGUCCUCACUGGCCUCCAAGUUUUCUAGGAUGAUGCAAUGUCCAGCCAUCAACACAUUUGUGAAGGAAUUUUUACUCCCCAAAAGAGCGCCCCCCCAUGGCAGGAGAAAAAAGUCCAUUUUUUCUUGUCCCCUAAGGUGAAAAUACACAUUGUUGAGUGUCACGCCUGUACGCUUUGUCAAAAUGACACAAAAAUUGACACACACAUGUAUCUCAAUAAGAUCUACAAAAGAGUCAAUGGGCGCGUAUCUGUCAAAUGUACGGUUAAAGGGUUAUUCCGCAUUUUUUGCCGAUUCGCACACAUUGGAAUUUCGCUAACUCCUCCGAAGGCUUUCGUUCCACCGGAACCACAUUUGCUCAGGCCAAAUUACACCCCAUGGCCAUUAAAAGUUAUUCAAAUCAUGACGCUGCACCCCACGGUUUACGUUCUAGGGGGCGCCAAAGAUAACCCAAAAAUCCACAUUUUUAAAAGUCUUAUAACUUUUUAUUUUUGUCCUCACUGGCCUCCAAGUUUUCUAGGAUGAUGCAAUGUCCAGCCAUCAACACAUUUGUGAAGGAAUUUUUACUCCCUAAAAGAGCGCCCCCCCAUGGCAGGAGAAAAAAGUCCAUUUUUUCUUGUCCCCUAAGGUGAAAAUACACAUUGUUGACUGUCACGCCUGUACGCUUUGGCAAAAUGACACAAAAAUUGACAAUCAUGUGUAUCUCAAUUAGAUCUACGAAAAAGUCAAGAGCGCGUAUCUGUAUAAUGUACGGUAAAAGGGCUAUUUUGCAUUUUUUGCCGAUUCGCACAUAUUGGAAUUUCGCUAACUCCUCCUAAGGCUUUCGUCCCACUGACACCAAAUUUGCUCAGGCCAAUCUACACUCCAUGGCCAUUCAAAGUUGUAAAAAUCAUGACGCGGCACCCCACGGUUUACGUUUUAGGGGGCGCCAAAGAUGACCCAAAUAUACAUUACAGUAGACAAAGUAGUUUUGCCCACUGAGUGGCGCCAAAGGGACUUGUCUGUGGAGUCUGUGAGUCACUAUUGGCCGUUUUUGACUACUUUAGAUUUUACCUUUAUAUUUCCUCUUACAAAAUUUUUACCUUGCCUUGCCUGGUAUCAUUUUUUUCAGCACAACCUCACCUGUGUCAAUUUACAGUUAUUUUAUCAUUUUGACAUACUAUAUUUACACAUUGGACCCAAAUUCACACACAAAACAUAAAAUCCGAGUGGAAAAAAGUAACGUUUUUACUGUGAAAACCACAAAUAUGUGUGAUGAACUGUUUUUAAAACUUAAACUUCAAAUAAAAAUUGUAAACUUCAAAACAUAUGCAAAUUUUUAACAAAGAACAUAGUAAUUUACCUCUAUUUACAUCAAAAUGCAGGCAAUGGCCCAGGUGUUCUUUGUAAAAUUAUUUACAAAACACUGUAUAGUCUCACAAAUGUCACUUUUUAUUUAUGCCACUACAAAAAAACAUGAUGUAAAUGAUGCAUGAUGUAAAACAUGAUGUAAAAAACUUGUGUAGAUCCUCCUCUAUGUCAGUCCAUGUGUAAUUUUUCCAUAAUUCUUUGUUUUUUGCAGCAUUUUUGUUAGUGUAACUGCAGAUUGUGCUGACAGUGUCUAUGGCAAAAAAAAAAAAAAACUGAAAAUGCCUCAACAUGAACCCCUGGUGGUCUCUGAGGGUGAAACCUGCUAACUGCUGCAGCUCUGUCAGCUUCAGUCUCCCAUGCAGAGCUCAGAGCGCAUGUGUGGCUCUGCACCCUUAGCAGCGUUGCUAACUCCUCAGUAAGGAAAGCCUGCUUCAUGUCAGAGUCUCUAAACUCCAGAAGAAGUCGAUAAAAGUCCCUUUCUUUCUAAAAAAACGUCGUUAGGGGGUCUGAAAAGUCAUUGAAUCUAACAACAAAGUCGCUAGGUUUGCAACUACGUGUCCCAGACUGCAUCCCUGCUGAGAGUCCCUCCCUCCCUUCUCAUAUUGCAGGAAGAACGUAAGCGCCCGCCCCUUGUCAAUCAGUCGCCAUAUAAUUUUGGAUUGGUUGUUGUGGUGAAGUUUUCCACCAAUAGGAGAGAUGUUGUGGUGUGUUUUUUUUUCCUUUGGCAAGCCUUUUCCGCCUGUAAGACCUGUCGCUAAUGUCUGCAUGCUAUGUUUUCCUGUCUCAUACAGCGCGAUCGAGCGCCGAACGUGAUCAAAAUAAGCAGAAAACAAGUAUCGCGGACAUAAUUUAUCAUAACUCUGGUUUUAUUUGGCCUAUCAACACAAUUUAAAAACUGGUAUAUAGGUUGAGGUCCUCACUUUUGAGAUAAGUUGAAACGGAGAGUCAACGAGGCUCCGUCUUGCAGCUACAUCCGGUUAAAUAUGUCAUGUGACUUGAACGCACACACACACACACACACACACACACACACACACACACACACACACACACGCACACACACACACUCAGAGUCUGGUUUUUAGCACCUGCAAAAACAUGCUAUUUACAUAUUUGACAAGAAUGCAGAGGCUCCUUUUGCCCCUGAAAAAAAUCAAAUUUCAAACACAACUUGACUGGUCAUUUCUCCAAAAGACAACCAUGAAGCUCCAUCCAAACCUGAAGCAGGCAGUUGGUGCAUGUGUACAGUAACCUGAGGGGAGUGAGGUGACUGCUUCUGAGGAGAACAUGAGCAGUGAAGAUUCACCUUAGAGCUAGAACAGAGACGUGCACAUGAUUAUACAGGGGCAGGGGCUCAAGUUUUUUCCAGUUGUUUAUACAAUAUGGAAAUUAAUGUGAAAUUAAAAAACAAAGUAUUAAUAGAAAGGUAAUGACUGUCCUGUGUAGGUGACAGUGAUAUCCAAUAGGCUAGGCACUCACGAGGCUGGCUGUGGCAAGUGUAAGUGAAAGCAACACGCACUGGCAGGAAGAACAGCAAACGCCGAUGAAGGAAAAGGGUCUUUGCAGUGAUGGGCGUUACCAGAGAGGGCGAUGGCCAGAGGACACAAAUGGGACGGGGAGGCAGCGCGUUGGGGGGGGGGGCGCGACACAGCUCGGGCCCGCCAGUGCCCCAACGGGGUCCUAGUUUGUUAUUAGGGCCCGAGCGUAGCUGCUAAGCAGCUGCGAGAGCCCUCUUGUUCCUGUAGUUUCCUUCUUUUGUUAUUAUUAGGGCCCGAGCGUAGCUGCUAAGCAGCUGCGAGAGCCCUAUUAUUCCUGAUGGAUUCUUCUUAGGGCCCGAGCGUAGCUGCUAAGCAGCUGCGAGAGCCCUCUUGUUCCUGUAGUUUCCUUCUUUAGGGCCCGAGCGUAGCUGCUAAGCAGCUGCGAGAGCCCUCUUGUUCCU
This 4537-nucleotide long non-coding RNA is filed under the name Xyrichtys novacula (pearly razorfish). The record is from RNAcentral. Lineage: Eukaryota; Metazoa; Chordata; Actinopteri; Labriformes; Labridae.